Molecule: small nucleolar RNA, 107 nt
Organism: Magnolia sinica
Lineage: Eukaryota; Viridiplantae; Streptophyta; Magnoliopsida; Magnoliales; Magnoliaceae
Source: RefSeq, a predicted model, not a curated record
UAGCUAUGAUGUGGAUAGGCAUUUAGAAGUUCCUUAAAUCUCUCACAACAUUAGAAGAAGAUUUCUUCCUCUUUUUGUGAAAAAUUUAUUGUGUCUCUUCUAAGGGU